Long non-coding RNA from Eriocheir sinensis (Chinese mitten crab), 752 nucleotides. RefSeq lists it as uncharacterized. Lineage: Eukaryota; Metazoa; Arthropoda; Malacostraca; Decapoda; Varunidae. The transcript has 4 exons. The record is from RefSeq and is a predicted model, not a curated record.
CUUUCGUAGAGGUUGUUGUGGGUGUUUCCAUGGGUAGUUUUGUGAGCCUAGUGAUAGUUUGACAAGGCUUUCGUAGAGGUUGUUGUGGGUGUUUCCAUGGGUAGUUUUAUGAGCCUAGUGAUAGUUUGACAAGGCUUUCGUAGAGGUUGUUGUGGGUGUUUCCAUGGGUAGUUUUAUGAGCAUAGUGAUAGUUUGACAAGGCUUUCGUAGAGGUUGUUGUGGGUGUUUCCAUGGGUAGUUUUGUGAGCCUAGUGAUAGUUUGACAAGGCUUUCGUAGAGGUUGUUGUGGGUGUUUCCAUGGGUAGUUUUAUGAGCAUAGUGAUAGUUUGACAAGGCUUUCGUAGAGGUUGUUGUGGGUGUUUCCAUGGGUAGUUUUGUGAGCCUAGUGAUAGUUUGACAAGGCUUUCGUAGAGGUUGUUGUGGGUGUUUCCAUGGGUAGUUUUAUGAGCAUAGUGAUAGUCUGACAAGGCUUUCGUAGAGGUUGUUGUGGGUGUUUCCAUGGGUAGUUUUAUGAGCCUAGUGAUAGUUUGACAAGGCUUUCGUAGAGGUUGUUGUGGGUGUUUCCAUGGGUAGUUUUAUGAGCCUAGUGAUAGUUUGACAAGGCUUUCGUAGAGGUUGUUGUGGGUGUUUCCAUGGGUAGUUUUAUGAGCAUAGUGAUAGUUUGACAAGGCUUUCGUAGAGGUUGUUGUGGGUGUUUCCAUGGGUAGUUUUAUGAGCAUAGUGAUAGUUUGACAAGGCUUUCGUAGAGGUUG